CCUACGGGGUGCAGCAGUGGGGAAUAUUGGACAAUGGGCGAAAGCCUGAUCCAGCCAUGCCGCGUGUGUGAAGAAGGCCUUCGGGUUGUAAAGCACUUUCAGUGGGGAAGAAAGCCUUGGGGCUAAUACCCUCGAGGAAGGACAUCACCCACAGAAGAAGCACCGGCUAACUCCGUGCCAGCAGCCGCGGUAAUACGGAGGGUGCGAGCGUUAAUCGGAAUUACUGGGCGUAAAGCGCGCGUAGGCGGUCUGAUAAGCCGGUUGUGAAAGCCCCGGGCUCAACCUGGGAACGGCAUCCGGAACUGUCAGGCUAGAGUGCAGGAGAGGAAGGUAGAAUUCCCGGUGUAGCGGUGAAAUGCGUAGAGAUCGGGAGGAAUACCAGUGGCGAAGGCGGCCUUCUGGACUGACACUGACGCUGAGGUGCGAAAGCGUGGGUAGCAAACAGGAUUAGAUCCCCGUGUAGUC
Molecule: ribosomal RNA, 465 nt
Filed under: Vreelandella stevensii
Lineage: Bacteria; Pseudomonadati; Pseudomonadota; Gammaproteobacteria; Oceanospirillales; Halomonadaceae
Description: partial 16S ribosomal RNA
Rfam family: Bacterial small subunit ribosomal RNA
Source: RNAcentral